This is a long non-coding RNA of Varroa destructor (honeybee mite), 906 nucleotides long. RefSeq lists it as uncharacterized. Lineage: Eukaryota; Metazoa; Arthropoda; Arachnida; Mesostigmata; Varroidae. The record is from RefSeq and is a predicted model, not a curated record.
UGUGCUUGCCUAACCGUAUCAGUUACCCCCGCAAAAGGAGCGAAAAAUUAAGACCCAAGAAUCGAUGAGCCUUUGAUGACAAAAGGAUCACUCAACGUGACUAAGCCACCACGCCAACGUAUGCCUUCCGGAGCAUGGGUCGGGGCACAACAUCCGGAAACCGAAGCUGCCAGACAGAUAGGCACAUAUAUGGGUCCACGGUCUGUCGCAAAAGCGAAACAUGGCACCACGAUCAGACACCAACAACCAAAACGACCGAAAAACAGUCGACGCGAAUAACGGAUAAAGGGAUAUGGAACGAAGCGUAGCCAGUCGCCAGUGAGACGGUAAAACUCCUGUAACGGAAACAACAGUAGUACAACUAACCGGCGAAGAUAGACUCCUACCAGGGAUAGCGUCGUGGCGAAAGUCAAGAGCAAAGGAGCAUGGUACUCGAUAAGGAACCCCACGGUGGAGCGGAAGAGCCGACCACUGUGGCCUUUUUCAUAGGACACACGCAGUCCCCAUGAAGCCGUUCCCACGCUGUGACGAUGGCCGCUGGACGGUGGCCCGUGCUGGCAUGCGAAAAUGGGGCGUCAAAAAAAUAAAACGAGAAGCUGUUCCGAUAACGAAACGAUGGAACUCGGGACACGGUAUUCUCUACCGUAAAUUGCCCCACCUUAACAUUGCCGUGAUGAAAAGUACAAAAGAACGCCAACAAUGAAGGAAGCACGACCUCCAAAUUGUCUGCUCGAUUACGGGGUGACAGCAGAAGUCGAGUAGGAGGUAUCUGCCUACAAGGCAACGGCUCAUCAGUCAUCUGGCCCGAACGUAGGCAGUCUCGACGAGGGCGGAGCUGGGUAGCCUCAAAUGAAUGACUUGGUCUCAGUAUAGACCAUUGACACUGUCGGGCAUUCAAUGCGGAAC